UACGUAGGGUGCGAGCGUUGCCCGGAUUUAUUGGGCGUAAAGGGCGCGUAGGCGGCCACGCACGUCCGUUGUGAAAUCGCCCGGCUCAACUGGGCGGGGUCAGCGGAUACGGUGUGGCUCGAGCAAGCUAGGGGGCAAUGGAAUUCCCGGUGUAGUGGUGGAAUGCGUAGAGAUCGGGAGGAACACCUGUGGCGAAGGCGGCCCCCUGGGCCGGCCCUGACACUGAGACGCGAAGGCGUGGGGGAGCGAACGGG
This 254-nucleotide ribosomal RNA is filed under the name uncultured bacterium. Its description in RNAcentral is "partial 16S ribosomal RNA". It matches the Rfam family "Bacterial small subunit ribosomal RNA", at positions 524 to 776 of the family's 1533-position model. The record is from RNAcentral.